AGGAAUUUGUUCCCAUCUCAGCACCUAUUUGGCAAAGAACUUACAUAGUGAAUAAACCUGUGUAAGCUAGUUGUGUACAUUAUAUGGAAGUGGAAGGUCCGAAAAUAUGGCUCUCAAAUUAUUCUUCUUCAGAUUGUAAGUUAUUUAUGAAAAACAACAAUAAAGUAUGUUGAUUUCACUGGUAACAUGCAAUAACUUCCAUAAAUAAUCUUGAAAAAAGCAUAAUGCUUACAUAUUCUGCAUACUGGAAUGCU
This 254-nucleotide unclassified non-coding RNA is filed under the name Hevea brasiliensis (rubber tree). Lineage: Eukaryota; Viridiplantae; Streptophyta; Magnoliopsida; Malpighiales; Euphorbiaceae. The record is from RNAcentral.